GGCAGGUGCCUCGACCCCGCCCCCUCGAGGGCGGACGUUGGGUUUCGAACGCCGCGGUGGCACGUGACAUGAUAUGACAAUCAGAACAAAGAAGGCAGCCGCAUCCGUCCACUCUGCCACAGCUGCUGAGGAGGAGGAUCCGGACCUUCAGCUGUGUGAUGAAUGAAAACAGGAGGAACUCGGAUCAGCUGGAAUGAUCUUUCAGGAGAAAUGGAGGAGAAACAGACAUUUGCCGUGCCAUAGAAAGCCAUAUUCUAGUCCCCAAAAGCCAUCAAUUAGGAAGAUAAUUGUUAGCUUGUGGAUCUUUUGAAAAUUCCUACUUUGGAAAGCUAUGGUAAGUACAGGGAUGAGCAACUGUGAUCAUAAAGACUUUGUCAGUUCUGGUGGUCUGUGUUUUAAAAAGGUAAUCCCUUAACCUAAGAGGAUGUGAAGAUGAGAGAAUGGCCAAGAGUACCUUCCACAAGGUAUGUCUUUCGGGUGUACUGAUAAAAAUGUGAUGCUGGACCACAAAAACAUUUUGUAUAUAAUUUGCUAUCCAAAAAUGUUCUAUUUGAAUAAUCAAAUCCAUUCCAAACCCAGUUUCCCCCUUCCUGACUCCUAAUCUGAUACGUCUACUCUCCUCCCAUCUUUUCCCCCCUACCCCCUUGGUUCCCAGUCUCCUUGCCCAACCAAUCCAUUUUCCUGCAGCUCCUCAUCUAAUCUCAGUCUCCCCUGACUCACUGGCAUCUAAUUCUACCCCCUAUUCCUUCCCUGACUUCCAGUCCUAGUAUCCUCCAGCAAGUUCUAGUGUCCUUGCCAAGACAGUCCCAGUUUCUCCUAGUUACCAGUUCUAACUUCCCUUUCCUGUCACCUGCAAAACUCUCACGCCCUAGUCUCCUCCCCCAUAGGGUUACCAGAUAGCAACUGUGAAAAAACGAGAUGAAGGGUGGGGGGUAAUAGGCACCUAUAUAAGAAAAAGUCCCCAAAAACAGGAUUGUCCCUUUAAAAAUGGGACGGAUAGUCACCCUACUCCCCCAAGGCGCCUUGUCUCAGUUUACUCCUCCUGUCCUCCCGCCAGUUUGGCUCUUGUUAUCUCUGCAUUUGAACCAGACAGCUGCCUGGGUGCCAGCGGUCGGUUCACUGAGAACACAUGGGAAACAGUCUCCUUGCACUUAGUUCAGGUGCCCAGACCUGGCAUAACCUGCAGUAGCCCAAAGCUCAGCAUCAGGGUGCAGCAUGCCCUGUGCAGAUGAAAUCUUCAGGAAGCAUAGUUGUGAUGUUCUAAAACGCCUCUGUUGAACGUGUGCAAACUGAUUUGUUUAAAGGCUUACAGUUUGGGCAGAUUUUCACAAGGAUGGCAAAAGGCACUGCACAUCCUUGACACAAAAGCAACGUCACAGCCAAAUUUCAACAGAGCUUUUCAAAGAAAAGGUUACCAGAAUAGUUAAUUAGGCCUGGUUUACACUAACAGUUAGGUUGACAUAAGCGGCAUUAGGUCGAUUUUAUAAUGUAUGUGUCUACACUACCAAGUCCCUUCCGCCAACCUAAGUGACCUGUAAAGUCGACCUUCUGUACUCCACCUCCGUGAGAGGCAUAGCGCUUGAUUUGACAUCCACAGGUCGACAUGGGAUAGUGUAGACGCUGCGUUGUGUAAUUCGAAUGAAUUGGCUUUCAGUAGAUGUCCCACAGUGUUCUGCUGUGAUCACUCUGGAUAGCACUUUCAACUCCACUGCAAGUCAGCCAGGUGUACAUAAGAAACAGCCGCUCUACUGUUAAAGCCCCAGGAAUGUUUGAAUUUUCACUUCCUGUUUGAUCAGCAUGGAGAGCUCGUCAGCAUGG
Trachemys scripta elegans is the source of this 1818-nucleotide long non-coding RNA. RefSeq lists it as uncharacterized. The transcript is spliced from 3 exons. Lineage: Eukaryota; Metazoa; Chordata; Testudines; Emydidae. The record is from RefSeq and is a predicted model, not a curated record.